CGAGAGCUGCCAGACAGGCGCGUACACCGAAACGAACAGAGAUUCUGAAGCCAAAAUCCUCAACGACCUCCAAACGGCUCCCCAGUAGCAAAGGCGGCGGACGCACCCUCUACACAGGCAAAGGAGCGGACAAACUGAACGCAAAGCACCAACCACACUGUACAAGAACUAGGCCAAACCAGCGCUCCCCAACCGUGCACAGACUGACCCGCCGCACCCGCGACGGAUCACUCAACAGACGCUGACGGACGCCCACUAAAGGAAGGGACCACAGGCGAGCGAAAAGCCCAAAGUAUGUGCCCGCUCAGGGGUGACCACCUGGUCAACUAGGGCUUGAACUGAAACACCGGCUCUGCAACGACGACCGCUCCACGCACCCAGGUCACCGAGAGCACCAACAGCAGAGAAUACGGACGAAGAAAAGACAGAAACCUAACACGACAAACAACAAAGUCAAGGUACCUCCGCGCCAACGGGCACAACGACCAACAGGUCAAAGAAGCCACACAUCACCUGCAUUAAAAACCACAAAGAAAGGCCGACAGAGCAACGGAAUGCUGGAAAUGCACUCAACCGCCAGCAGGGACUGUCUCCAACACAGGGCUCCUGGAUAACCGAGCAAGUCAGACACGGAGCUCAUGGAUCUCAUGGCACUGACUAGGGGGGCGGCUUUUCAAAGCCGAAAAGGGGCUCGCCCCGGUGCAGCCACUUGACCCCCGCUUGAUUCGCAGGGCAGUCCGUACGGCAUAGGAGUGCAAGCACAAGAACGCCGUGACGCUUGGAGUACACACGUGUUAAUGAGAUUCUCAACUAACUACAAAUCAGGAGUGUCAUUGCGCCAACGUGAUCUGCCGCUGCUGCGCAAAAUCCAUGAGGCGGGAUAGAGGGUAGGACACAAGGUCGGGGAGGGCAAUUCUUUGGACUGCCCCGGUCGCACAAUUCCUGUGCUU
RNAcentral lists this long non-coding RNA (950 nucleotides) under Volvox carteri. RNAcentral describes it as "long non-coding RNA (VCAR_LNC002273)". Lineage: Eukaryota; Viridiplantae; Chlorophyta; Chlorophyceae; Chlamydomonadales; Volvocaceae. The record is from RNAcentral.